This 251-nucleotide long non-coding RNA is filed under the name Prunus persica (peach). RNAcentral's name for it is "long non-coding RNA (PPER_LNC006301)". Lineage: Eukaryota; Viridiplantae; Streptophyta; Magnoliopsida; Rosales; Rosaceae. The record is from RNAcentral.
ACGUGCGUAUUAGUGUAUACAUGUGCAUGUUAGCAUAGUUUACUUAGAGGAGAAGUAAUGUUAGUUAGCUAUAUAAGGAUAACCUUAGGCAGAGCUUAAGCUUAACUUGGGAUGUAUAAGAUUUUUCAGAAAGAAAUAUACUAUGCUUCUUUCUCUUCAACUUUCUCUUACUAAAACCCAAAACCUAAAUAUAUUUUUCUGCCAUGGUUAUCAUGGUAUCAGAGCUUCGGCUCUUCGAUUCUUGAUCUUUU